RNAcentral lists this ribosomal RNA (447 nucleotides) under uncultured bacterium. RNAcentral's name for it is "SSU rRNA". It matches the Rfam family "Bacterial small subunit ribosomal RNA", at positions 26 to 518 of the family's 1533-position model. The record is from RNAcentral.
AGAGCGAACGCUGGCGGCAGGCUUAACACAUGCAAGUCGAGCGGGCGUAGCAAUACGUCAGCGGCAGACGGGUGAGUAACGCGUGGGAACGUACCUUUUGGUUCGGAACAACACAGGGAAACUUGUGCUAAUACCGGAUAAGCCCUUACGGGGAAAGAUUUAUCGCCGAAAGAUCGGCCCGCGUCUGAUUAGCUAGUUGGUGAGGUAACGGCUCACCAAGGCGACGAUCAGUAGCUGGUCUGAGAGGAUGAUCAGCCACAUUGGGACUGAGACACGGCCCAAACUCCUACGGGAGGCAGCAGUGGGGAAUAUUGGACAAUGGGCGCAAGCCUGAUCCAGCCAUGCCGCGUGAGUGAUGAAGGCCCUAGGGUUGUAAAGCUCUUUUGUGCGGGAAGAUAAUGACGGUACGCAAGAAUAAGCCCCGGCUAACUUCGCGCCAGCAGCCGC